UCUUCUUCAACGUUUAGUCUUUUGACAUUGUUGAGACUGUAAAGUCAAUCAACAUCUUCUCUAUUCAUCAAAGUCCUCUUCAAUAGUGUAACACCCGAUAUAUCAAUCAACUCUUCAGUUUCCCACACUCACCAUAUAUAACUUUGUCACUGCUUUAUUUCUUGCCUUAUUCCACACACCAGCUAAACAAAUUUUUUAUUCUUCAUUCUGAUUUUUUAUUUUUCUUAUAUGCCUCACAUAUUUUGAAUUCUUCGUCUCCGGAUAACGCUGCCAACAGAUUCGUCUCUAUAGCUUCAAUCGAGGCGGAAGCCAGAGGCCGUAGAAUCUGGGGACGAGAGGCGCUGCGUAUAGUGAGUCCGGAGACAAAUCCUCCGCGAAGAUCGACGGAAUUGAAACCAGCAUGUACAGAUCAUAAACUGAAAUUCUCAGUUUCGUUGUCGAAUACAGAUAUCAAAGAGGAUUUAAAAAAAAAAGGUUGGGAGAGAAGACUUCCAGUGAGACCUAAGAAGAAACUGAAUGGAGCAAGUGAAGAAACAAGGGAGAAAGUUUGGUACAGUCGAUGAACUAAUCCAAGUGAUAACUCCAAAAGGCAGAGUUUGAGGUAUUGGACUUGGGUUAUUAUAAAAUGGAAAGUGGGAAAGAAGAGAGUAUGCAUACAUAUCCUUUGAGAUCUCUUGCUUCAUCUCUGGAAAGGGGUUUGUGCGUAUGAGUUAACCAAGAGUUCAAUUCAGCCAUAUUUUUACAGGUGAAAUCUCCUUUCUCUAUCACUCAAAGAGAGAUUGAAUAUCUCACGGACACCAUCCAGAAUGGUGGCACUGAAGUAAUGAGUCUUGAUCUGAUGUUUCAUUUGCUGAAGGACACGUAAUGAGUUUUUAUAAUCAUUGUUCUUCACUCCAUAUAAAUUUAACUGCAUAUGAACUGAUGCUGCAGUAACAAAGGAGAAUUUACGAACCGUAACAAACCAAUCAUUCAACUGCAUAUGAAGCGAUGCUGCAGUAAUGCUACGGUCACGACUGUUGGCAACGACCUUAGAUAUGAUAGAUCCAGCACAGUGACAUGACUGACGGUAGAAACCAAAAUCAGAGUUACGCUAAAGCAAAGGGAACAAGGAAGCAUAAAGUAAAAACAAAGUUGUGAUUGCCCUCAUUUCCUUGCCUCUUCUGUGAAAACUUAGAAAUACUUUUGCUUUGUGUUUGUUAGUGUCUGUAAAUCCACAUCUAUAUGUAAUUAUAGGAGGAAGACAUUGGCCAACAGAAUGUUUCAUUUCAAAGACGUGCAUACGGUAAAAGUAUAUAUUGUCAAAUGAGGGUUUACAUAUAUUGUCAAAUGAGGGUUUACAUGAGGAAUACAUUUAUAUAUGUAU
Long non-coding RNA from Brassica oleracea var. oleracea, 1363 nucleotides. RefSeq lists it as uncharacterized. The transcript has 4 exons. NCBI's taxonomy places the organism in Eukaryota, Viridiplantae, Streptophyta, Magnoliopsida, Brassicales, Brassicaceae. The record is from RefSeq and is a predicted model, not a curated record.